GCCAGACUCCUACGGGAGGCAGCAGUGGGGAAUAUUGGGCAAUGGGGGAAACCCUGACCCAGCGACGCCGCGUGAGGGAAGAAGGUUUUCGGAUUGUAAACCUCUGUCCUUGGUGACGAUAAUGACGGUACCUGAGGAAUAAGCCACGGCUAACUACGUGCCAGCAGCCGCGGUAAUACGUAGGUGGCAAGCGUUAUCCGGAUUUAUUGGGUGUAAAGGGAGCGUAGACGGCGAUGCAAGUCUGAAGUGAAAGGCGGGGGCCCAACCCCCGGACUGCUUUGGAAACUGUAUGGCUGGAGUGCAGGAGAGGUAAGUGGAAUUCCUAGUGUAGCGGUGAAAUGCGUAGAUAUUAGGAGGAACACCAGUGGCGAAGGCGGCUUACUGGACUGUAACUGACGUUGAGGCUCGAAAGCGUGGGGAGCAAACAGGAUUAGAUACCCCUGUA
Molecule: ribosomal RNA, 445 nt
Filed under: uncultured bacterium
Lineage: Bacteria
Description: partial 16S ribosomal RNA
Rfam family: Bacterial small subunit ribosomal RNA
Source: RNAcentral